This 530-nucleotide ribosomal RNA is filed under the name Bifidobacterium dentium. RNAcentral's name for it is "bacterial SSU rRNA". It matches the Rfam family "Bacterial small subunit ribosomal RNA", at positions 157 to 698 of the family's 1533-position model. The record is from RNAcentral. Lineage: Bacteria; Bacillati; Actinomycetota; Actinomycetes; Bifidobacteriales; Bifidobacteriaceae.
CGGGUGGUAAUGCCGGAUGCUCCGGUUGGAUGCAUGUCCUUCCGGGAAAGAUCCGUCGGUAUGGGAUGGGGUCGCGUCCUAUCAGCUUGAUGGCGGGGUAACGGCCCACCAUGGCUUCGACGGGUAGCCGGCCUGAGAGGGCGACCGGCCACAUUGGGACUGAGAUACGGCCCAGACUCCUACGGGAGGCAGCAGUGGGGAAUAUUGCACAAUGGGCGCAAGCCUGAUGCAGCGACGCCGCGUGCGGGAUGGAGGCCUUCGGGUUGUAAACCGCUUUUGAUCGGGAGCAAGCCCUUCGGGGUGAGUGUACCUUUCGAAUAAGCACCGGCUAACUACGUGCCAGCAGCCGCGGUAAUACGUAGGGUGCAAGCGUUAUCCGGAAUUAUUGGGCGUAAAGGGCUCGUAGGCGGUUCGUCGCGUCCGGUGUGAAAGCCCAUCGCUUAACGGUGGGUCUGCGCCGGGUACGGGCGGGCUGGAGUGCGGUAGGGGAGACUGGAAUUCCCGGUGUAACGGUGGAAUGUGUAGAUAUC